RNAcentral lists this ribosomal RNA (478 nucleotides) under uncultured bacterium. RNAcentral describes it as "bacterial SSU rRNA". It matches the Rfam family "Bacterial small subunit ribosomal RNA", at positions 21 to 518 of the family's 1533-position model. The record is from RNAcentral.
GGCUCAGGACGAACGCUGGCGGCGUGCCUAACACAUGCAAGUCGAGCGAUGAAAUCCUUCGGGAUGGAUUAGCGGCGGACGGGUGAGUAACACGUGGGUAACCUGCCUUGUAGAGGGGGAUAGCCUUCCGAAAGGAAGAUUAAUACCGCAUAACAUCUUUUUAUCGCAUGGUAGAAAGAUCAAAGGAGUAAUCCGCUACAAGAUGGACCCGCGGCGCAUUAGCUAGUUGGUGAGGUAACGGCUCACCAAGGCGACGAUGCGUAGCCGACCUGAGAGGGUGAUCGGCCACAUUGGAACUGAGACACGGUCCAGACUCCUACGGGAGGCAGCAGUGGGGAAUAUUGCGCAAUGGGGGGAACCCUGACGCAGCAACGCCGCGUGAAUGAAGAAGGCCUUAGGGUUGUAAAGUUCUGUUUACGGGGACGAUAAUGACGGUACCCGUGGAGGAAGCCACGGCUAACUACGUGCCAGCCGCCGC